AGAGAGAGAGAGGGAAAUAAAGAGAGAGAGAGAGAGACAGAGAGAGAGAGAGAAAGAGACAGAGAUGCCCGCUCCUCGUUGAUUGCAGCUGAUAUACAUCAAUAUUUAACACUGGCAGGUUGUAAAAAUCGAGGCAACGGCUACUUCAGUUCUUAGCACCUGCAAUCGAAAAGGCAUCUCCACAUCAUCAGCUUUAUUAAGCUGUAAAAUGCGUAACGGAUUAAAUGUGUAGCACGACGAAACGAAAAUACCCUUUCAAAUUCAAUUUCUCUUAUAUUACACAAGCAAGAUGCGGCUCGCAUAAGAAAUUCACAUAUUCUUAACAUGAGAACCGUUGAGAAAAGAGAAACAGCCAAACCUAAGCCCACAAUAAACCAUAUAAAAUAAAAUAAUAACAAUUACAGAAUUUUGGAUCCGAAAAGCAACAAGAGCUAUAGAGCUACUCCGAAUGGUUCACAAUUGAAUCGGUGGUUCUGCUUGGGAUUGGUUAAAGCUUAUGGCAAAAUGUCAACGCUCUGGCAAAAAAAAAAAUAAUCUUAAAUAAAGCCUUACACAGCUGCGCUCUGGUCUGUCAGGGCUAAUUGAUUACGCGCUCGAGCUGCUACCGAAGGGUACGCCAAAAACCAGAAAACAUAGACUUACACUGGGACCCUGCUCUGAUGCAGAUGAUUCCCAGACGUAACGCCGGCCCGGCCCAGCCCCGUCUGAUCUGGCUUGGCCCAAACAGCGUGUGAAGUCGGCACGAAGCCUUGACAGCUGACCGAUGCUUGGGAAUCCAAUGUGGCACCUGAGCUACGCAUUGAUUGAGAACUGAAAGCGUGGAGUGCAUUGCGCAUACGCCGCGUGCAUCAAUGUUGAAUGGACGUCGACAGACGUCAACAACUGCUGCAACUCGAUAUGAAACAAUUUUUAAUAAUUGACAAUUAAACUAACAAUAAUUGACAAUAAAUAUUAAAGUGGCGCUGCAA
Long non-coding RNA from Drosophila novamexicana, 968 nucleotides. RefSeq lists it as uncharacterized. The transcript has 2 exons. The record is from RefSeq and is a predicted model, not a curated record. Lineage: Eukaryota; Metazoa; Arthropoda; Insecta; Diptera; Drosophilidae.